CAUGCAAGUCGAACGGUAACAGGAAAUAGCUUGCUAUUUUGCUGACGAGUGGCGCACGGGUGCGUAACGCGUAUACAAUCUACCUUUUGCUGAGGGAUAGCCCAGAGAAAUUUGGAUUAAUACCUCAUGGUAUUAUUGAUAGGCAUCUAUUAAUAAUUAAAGGUUACGGCAAAAGAUGAGUAUGCGUCCCAUUAGCUAGUUGGUGAAGUAACGGUUCACCAAGGCAACGACGGGUAGGGGUCCUGAGAGGGAGAUCCCCCACACUGGUACUGAGACACGGACCAGACUCCUACGGGAGGCAGCAGUGAGGAAUAUUGGACAAUGGGCGAGAGCCUGAUCCAGCCAUGCCGCGUGCAGGAAGACUGCCCUAUGGGUUGUAAACUGCUUUUAUACAGGAAGAAUAAGCCUUACGUGUAAGGUGAUGACGGUACUGUAAGAAUAAGGACCGGCUAACUCCGUGCCAGCAGCCGCGGUAAUACGGAGGGUCCGAGCGUUAUCCGGAAUUAUUGGGUUUAAAGGGUCCGUAGGCGGAUGAUUAAGUCAGGGGUGAAAGUUUGCAGCUCAACUGUAAAAUUGCCUUUGAUACUGGUCAUCUUGAGUUGUAUUGAAGUAGGCGGAAUAUGUAGUGUAGCGGUGAAAUGCAUAGAUAUUACAUAGAACACCAAUUGCGAAGGCAGCUUACUAAGUACUAACUGACGCUGAUGGACGAAAGCGUGGGUAGCGAACAGGAUUAGAUACCCUGGUAGUCCACGCCGUAAAC
Molecule: ribosomal RNA, 760 nt
Filed under: uncultured Bacteroidota bacterium
Lineage: Bacteria; Pseudomonadati; Bacteroidota
Description: bacterial SSU rRNA
Rfam family: Bacterial small subunit ribosomal RNA
Source: RNAcentral